CAUCCCUUGCUCUAUCUGUCUUCUUAUCUUGGGGUGCCUCGUGUUUACAAGAAACGCGUACGUCCUUUCUAGAAAUUAGCAAGCAGAAUUCAGAAACAAGUGUGUCCAUGUGACAUAAGCAUGCUUCUUAUAAUUUGCUAUUGCAGUGGUUCCCACCUCCUUUGAAGAUUUUAUUCAUUUAUAACCUUCCUCUCUGCUCCCUCACAACCUUACUACAAAGCCUCGCCAGAUUUCUAGAAGUGUUUCUGAGAAUUUUGCAGAUUUGAAGGAGGUUCUGGGCUGCUGUAAAGGCAGGCUAGAUAAUCAGCUCCCACAAGGCUGCAGUUUGUAACUGGAGUCUCAGAAAUCAAAAAUUCCACUCUAUAAUUAUCACAGAUGAGAACUGUGCCUCCACAGCAUGUAUCCAUUAUGGGGAAGGAAAGUGGAAGAUCGAGAUAGCUGGUUUUCAUGUUCCUGCAGUGCUGGAUUUUUUCUUCUUCUUUUUUUUUUUUAUUUUUUUAAGACAGUUUCUGUCACCCAGGCUGGAGUACAGUGGUGUAAUCAAAGCUCACUGCAGCCUCAACCUCCUGGGCUCAAGUGAUCCUCCUGCCUCAGCCUUCAAAGUUGCUGGGACCACAGGCAUUCGCCACCAUGCCUGGCUAAUUUUUGUAUUUUUUUUUGCAGAGACAGGGUUUCAUUAUGUUGCCCAGGGUGGUCUUGAACUCCUGAACUUGCGCAAUCUGCCAGCCACGGCCUCCCAAAGUGCUGGGAUUAUAGGCAUAAGCCACCAUGACUUGCUGGGUAUUCAAAUCACAACUUGGCUCUUACAGAAACUUUCUUAUUUGCAAAAGAAAAUCUGCAAAGAUCAGGAAACAGGGCUGCUCCAUGCUUUCCACCUCCACCCCUACCCCUACCCCAUGCCCAGCUCUCCCCAGCUUCUCCAGGGACCAGACAUUCUGACAAAUGGCUAGUCUAGGGUUCUAUGGACCAAGGCAACCAGAGGUUGAUUCUUCUCCCUGCUGCUACCUCUAACACAAUCCCAAGUGGGAAAACAUCUCCUUCUCAUUGUUUAAAUAAUACCACGUGUCUGUCCUGGCAGACAGAUUUUUUUGGUGUUGAUUGAUUAGUUUGGUUUGGUAACCCCUCAUGUUCAAUUCUGCAUGAUUUAAGCCAAAAGAAGGUUGUUUACUCAUUAGGAAAUAUAAAAUGGUAUUAACCAGCAACCUCUUAACUUUUCCAGUCCCCCGCAUCAAGCUCCAUGGCCUUAAUUACUCAGUCCUUGGUCUAAGGAGACACAUAGAUACCUGUGUUCUCCUCCAUUUAACAGCCAGGGACCAGCCACUGUGUGAUUUUUAGAACUCAGUGUUUUACACUGACUUUGAGAUAUCUCAGAGACAAACCUUCGGUCCACCAACAGCAAGUGUUUACGUCCUCGAGGAAGGCAUUUUAAACUAACCUUAUUCAUCUCGUUUUUCUUACCCAUGUUUUUCUUUCUCCAAAAUUAUUUUUUGGGCACUUUAGAUAUAAGCUGCCUUAUAUCCUCUUUAAGACAAUAGAUAAACAAAGCAAGCAAACUCCUUGAUACCUUCAAUUAAAUCUCAUGUAAACCAAACCAACACCUCUGGGGUCAUUAUAUACUCAUGGCCACAACACUCCACAGUUGUGCUGAUGGGGCAGGUUGUACACUGCCUAACUCUAGAGGCUGUCAUUCACAUUUACAGACAUUAUUUUUAUAUUAUGACAAACUUGUGGGAAGCAUUAGUAAUCGUCUUGAGGAAAUGGUGGCUUUUUCUGAUUUGCACAAAAGUGCAGUUUAGAAUAACAGCAAGACUAGACAUAUUGCCUUAAUCAUAAUUUUGCAAUUUAAAAUUGACCAUCUUAAGCUUUGUGUCAUAGAGCCUCUUCAUUUUAUGGCUUUUAUCACAAUUAACUAGUACUGGGUUUCUGGAUUUCUGUUGUGGCAAUUCAUCACAUUAUAGCAUGACUCAGACACGUGCCUCCUUCCAUGAUAGUUGUUCGACAACUUCAUACAUUCUAUAGGCUACCUACAAAUUCCUCCUUGUACCACUACCUAUACUUUCAUUUAAAUGUUAAAAUGAAGAGGGCUCUUACUCUUUUUUUAGAUUCCUCCUGAGUGAUCGGUGCAGGAGGUGUACUUGAUACAGCUGUGAAUUACAUUCCUAAAGAACUAUCUGGCUUUCUGGUUAUAAUCAAGCCAAAGAACACGUGGGCUUCAGAUGUUCUAAUGAGCACUUCUUGUUACUGGGCAUUCUGUUCCUGGCCUCUCCUGCAGAAAGAACAUCAUGACUUUUUAUUGUCAAAUGAGCAGAGAGAGCUCCACAAAUUUGAAUGAGAGUGAAUGUUUGGGGAAAUCUAUUUGAAAUUCGUAGAUCAUUUCUUAUUUCCUUGGACUCAUUUUAAGAAUGUUAGUUAGAAGCAAGUUUAAGAAAUUCUACUUCUAUUACAGAACGUUAUGCCCAUGACUUCCCCCACAUAUCAUUCUGAGCAGGAGGAGGAAGGCAAAAUGGAGACAUUUUCAUACUGAAAUUUGGUUUAAUAUAGUUGCUACCAGCUAAUCUGAUUUCUUGGAAGAAACAAUGAAGAGAUGUGUCUAAACAUGACAUUCCAACAUCAUGGCAUGAAACAGAAAAGCAUCCACAAUGGCUAUUUAUUUUCUUAGUUUCCUCAUCUAUAAAAUGGGAAUAGUGUAAGCACCUCCUAAGUGGGAUAAUUACGCAUCCUAGUUUGCCCGGGUCAGUUUAUACCUUCUUCCCAGAAUAAUUAUUGAUAGUAAUGAUGUUCAUGUUCAUAACGUCCUGAAUUGAUAAGCCCUACAAAGUUGUUGUGGUGAUCCAUUACAUUAGAGCACUUCUUAGACAUAGUAGGUGUUUGAUACGUGGUAGAGCAUGUUAUAUAUCAUCCUCAUCACUCUAGUCAUUUCUGCAACCUCCAAAGGCUCAGAAUGUCAGAUCACUUCCCACCUAGGCAAGAAGUAGAAAAGAAGCUCCCAGACAGGUGGCUUCUGCCCUAGGAUCAUUGAGGGGUUUGUUCUGCAGGCAUGUGCUGUGUUUCAGGUGGCCUCACCCACCAGGCUCCUUGCUGUCUACCUUGUCACAAGCUGAUUUCUGCCCUGCUCAUCAGUCCACACCUCAGCCCAGUUUGGUCCCAGCAAGGACCAAACCAAAACUAUUUAUAUACUGAUAUGGUUUGGAUUUGUGUCCCUGCCCAAAUCUCAUGUCAAACUGUAAUUCCCAAUGUUGGAGGAGGGGCCUGGUGAGAGAUGACUGGAUCAUGGGAGUGAAUUUUCCCCUUGCUGUUCUCAUGAUAGUGGGUGAGUUCUUGCUAGAUCUGGUUGUUUAAGAGUGUGUAGCACCGCCCCGCUUCCGCUCUCUUCCCCCUGCUCCAUGUAAGACGUGCCUGCUUUCCCUUCGCCUUCCACCAUGAUUGUAAGUUUCCUGAGGCCUCCCCAGAAGCAGAAGCCUGUAUAGCCUGCAGAACCGUGAGCCAAUUAAACCUCUUUUCUUUAUAAAUUACCCAGUUUUAGGUAUUUCUUUAUAGCAGUGUGAAAAUGGACUAAUAUAGAUACUUACCUUUUGAGGUGUCUUUUUUGGUCUGUACAUUAAUAAAGAACAACAUUGGUUUGCUCAAUAUAGUUUCCCUGUAGUCUUUAUAAUCACAGUAGUUGGUCAGUUCCACAUACCUAUGAAGAAGCAGAGAUCAUUGCAAAUGUAACGUACCCUUUCAUCUAAAUUAGGAAGGGGAUGUACUGGACAGGUAUCUGCCACAGCCACAGACCUUGGAGGGAAGUUCCUUGAAAUGCAUCCUUACAGAGGUCACCAUAUAAACGAAUCUUUCUGGUCAUGGCUGAUUGGCUCAAGGAUCAGCGUGCAGCCCACAGGCAGCCAUGGCCCUAGGGGUGUCCUGGCAUCAACACUUGGCUCUCAGACUUUACCAGAUGAUCACCAGUAUCAUCUGUCGUUUGGGCUAAAAGCGUUCAUUUGAAGCUAUAAGAGCUCUAAGUCCCUCUGAAUUGAUAAUGAAUUCGACAUAAUAGUAGAAUUAGCUGAAUUUUCUCCAGUGGAGUCAUCCUGUUUAACUUGUGGGUCUUGAAUUUUCCUUUCCUUCUCCCCACUUCCCCACUAAUCCCAAGAUAAACCAGCCCCCUCCAUAGAUUACAGAAUCAACCAAUAUUCAUAUGAACUAUUACUAGUUCACAUCUCUCCUACGCUGAACUUGUGUAAUUAAAAAACGAAAACAACUGAUGUUGGACUUUUCACUACAUCCUUGUUAAAUUUAGCCUUUUUGGUUUUCAUUAUUCUCAUUUAGGAAGAUCUUUCUGAAUCCUGACUCUGUCAUCCAGCAUGUUAGCUUUCUUCCCUGCCCUUCACAUCUUCCAAGCAGCCUAGCUACAUCCCUGUCAGCAUUGUUCAUAAAAAGGUCCAAGUGCAGAUUAGCUUCCUUCAAGAAGUUAGUUAAUUUUCUAACUAAACCCAAGCUCAGAUGCCAUGUGGAUGUAGGUAGGCUGAAUGGCCCCCAGCAGGCUGAAGGAUGCGUCUGCCGCAGUCUCUCUGAAACACAGAGCUGGUUCCCCAUUGACACAGCUGCGAGCAUCUGCACGGAGCGAAUGGCUGGCUGAGCUGAGCGCGCGGGCUGCCUUUUGCUACACCACAGCAUGUUUGUUUCUUAUAUCUAGUCAUCAGCAGAGACAGCUCCAAGCAAUUCUUUCUGGCUGAUUGUCCUUCCAGUGCCUGACAUGAAAAUCACAGCCUUGGCGAGAAAACAGCCGCUGCAGGGAGUGGUGCCCACAGUACUCUAGGCAUCCCUCACCUGCGUCCACUUCCCACCAUCCCUCGGAGGGGCCAGCACACAAGACAGUGACCGGGGCAUGUGUCAAGAGCAUGCGAGAGAAUAUCUACCCUGAGGCAGGAAAACACGGCUUCCGCUCGGCUGUCUCCCAGCUUGGUUUCUUAGAAAUCUAUGUCAUUAUCUUUCUGCUGGGAUUGUCAGACCUGAUUUUGAGAGCAUUUAAAACCUGACCCCUGAUGGAGCCUCUAAAAUGCUUCCUGUCUUCUAUUUCACCAAGCUUUUAAAGCAGUCUCCACCUCCCACCACAUCUGUAGUGGUGGCUGCUUGGGAGCUGUUCCUGGGGUAGGGAGGGGAACAUGGGGCUGCAGUGUUCCAGAGAAGAAAAAGGUGGGUGUGGAUGUUGAUGCUCACGGAGUGGGUGAGGAUGGCAGGAGUAGAGGAGAGGACGAUGGGAAUGGAGGAGGGGCGCUGGGGUGGGGCGCUGGGGUGUUACAAGGGAAUGGAUGGCCAGGUAAGAGAAUGCAGACCCACACAUGGCUUUGGUAUGGGUCUUCCUUCACCCCUCCCCUGCCCUCAUCCUCACCUGGGCAGAACAGGAGAAAGGGGGUGAGAUGGGGGAACCUCAGGAGACUGAGGGGAGUGGUGCUGGUGUUGCACAUCAGCUGGGAGAGAAUUUUCCUGCCCUUUUUUUUAUCCCAGUUGACCAACUGCCAAAAGUUACUAGAGAAAGAAAGCAAAGGAGAAGGCAGGAAAAAGAAAACCACCAUUUGCUGGGCUCAUUCAUUCAUUCACUGAGUAACUUCAUUGAGUCCUGCUGAUGAGCCGGGCACCAGGUGAGCAUUUACAUGUGUCUCAUUGCCUUCUUGUGCUGGAGGGGCUCAGAGUCUAGAAAGGGGACAGUGGACGGAGGCAGUGCAGGGCGCCCCUGUGCUCGCCCGUCCCUCUUGCCAUCCAUCUAUUCAGCGGCCAAACACCCAGCACAAAUAUCAUAGAUAUUUCAGAAUUACUAUGCAAAUAUUGCUUCUACAUAUUGAAUAUUUAUCAUAGUUGCUGAAAUCAUCAUUAGGCAGGCAGGUAAGAGUGGCUUGGGAAGGGGGUGAAGAGAAGGUGAAGUAUGUUGUUACGUGGGGGGUGAGGAUACAGAGGGAGAAAAGAGAAAGAAAACCCCUGUAGCAAAAGAGGAAGGAAAGGGCAAGUCUGGUUGACAUAAACAUAACAAAAUAGAUGGGUGAUGCGGGAGGAGUUGGGGAGCAGGCUCCACCUAUGACCCAUUCGAGGCAGGUUUCCCAUUAUCCUACCAUCCUGUUUACAUGGAGUUCAGUCAUGGUCAUUUCAGCUCCUUUACUACAUUCCUCGGGGAGAUUCCUCUAUUCUUUCAAUAUCUGGAGUCUGAUUGUCAUUCUUAAUGGAAAGCGCAUGGCAUUUGUGUACAAUGCACCCAGAAAUCUGCAGUUUUGAUGCCUUUUCUGAUGACACAAAUGCUAGUGCAGUAUGUCCCUCUGCGUACAAAAUUGAUUGACAUCCAAUGGGUCAGUGAUCCCACAGAUAAAAAUCUCAACUUACAAAUGAUCUCUGGUUCAGAGAACAAUCAGUUUUCCCUGGAAUUUGGUGGAAGGCUUUUUUCAAUGCUACUGGGCUCAAAGAGCAGGUAUUUGGCAUGGUCACAGAAGGAAGCCUGCUGGAUAGCCACAUGUUGAGUGUAAUGUAUGACCUACACAUGAGCUAUCCAUUUUCAAGCCUGAAUUUCAUAAAACACCUUGGAUAAUAAAACUACAUGCAACAUAAUUUAAUCUGCCUUUGAUGAUUCAGGGGUACUUGAAUUUCAGCUCCUUAACCAGGCUGUAAACCUCAUCACAGUGCAUGCCAGUUAUCACUGUAGCACAGAUGUGUAAAAACACUGCUUAUAGAAGACCUCUGAUGCCAGAACUUACAGACAAGAGAUUGUGCCAAGAUCCCUACUUAAUAAGCUCCCUAACUCUAACCAGGCCACAGAUAAGAAAUACCUCAUUAAUUCCUCCAUCCCCAGCCUCCCAGUUAUGGUCCAAUUGUUAAGCACCUUGAAAUUCCAUUGAAAUAAAUAAAUGUGAGCAUUCACUAAAACACGAUAAGAUCGGAGAAUUUAGUUGUUAAGGUGCACAGAUAUUUAAGUUUCUGACAUGUAAUCACUGGUUUUAGUUUAAGACUAUCCUUACUAGAUUAUAUUAGGGACUAGUUAUUUGAUCUUCUUUGUUUGUGUGUUCGUUUGUUUGUUUUUUGAGAUGGAGUCUCACUCUUUCACCCAGGCUGUAGUGCACUGGCACAGUCUUGGCUCACUGCAACCUCCGUCUCCCAUGUUCAAGCAAUUCUACUGCCUCAGCUUCCCAAGUAGCUGGGAUUACAGGCGUGCACCACCAUGCCCAGCUAAUUUUUGUAUUUUUAGUAGAGACAAGGGUUUCACCACAUUGGCCAGGCUGGUCUCGAACUCCUGACCUCAAAUGAUCUGCCUGCCUCAGCCUCCCAAAGUGCUGGGAUUACAGGUGUGAGCCAUCACACCCGGCCUUUAAUCAUAGAUAUUUCAGAAUUACUAAUGCAAAUAUUGCUUCUACAUAUUGAAUAUUUAUCAUAGUUGCUGAAAUUAUUAUCAUUAGGAAUGAAAAGCAAACACUUUAAGAUAGACAGUUUCUUUAAAAUCUCAUUUCUUCAUUGCUUUACCCUGGCCCCAAAAUGCUUCUGGGGUGAAAGUUUCUAAGCUUGGCUUCAAUCCAAAGAUUAAAAGGCAGGGCAAAGCCGGGCGUGGUGGCUCACAUCUGUAAUCCCAGCACUUUGGGAGGUCAAGACAGGAGGACUGCUUGAGGCAAGGAGUUGUAGACCAGCCUGGGCAACACAGUUCCAGACCAGCCUAGGAAAACCUUGCCUCUACAACAAAUUUUUAAAAUUAGCCAGGUGUGGUGGUGCAUGCCUAUACUCCUAGCAACUCAGGAGGCUGAGGUGGGAGGAUUGCUGGAGUCCAGGAAUUCCAGGCUGCAGUGAGUUAUGACUGCACCACUGCACUCCAGCCUGGGUGACAGAGCAAGACCCUAUCUCAACAAACAAACAAACAACCCAAAGCAACCAGCCAAACAAAAAACCCCAGCAGGACAAUGUAAUGGGAAACACAGUAUUUCAAAAUAAGAUCUAAUUCAAGUCCUGAUUUGCUGGCUAUGUGAACUCAAUUCCAGAGCCACAACUCACUAUGACCUUGAGGGACUUCUUUAACCUGUCUGCACCUGUUCACUCAUCUGUGGAAAGGGCAUAACAGUAUUUUUUCCCUCAUGAUGAGUAAAUGCAGUACAUGCAAUGUAGACAUACGAAUUUGAACCCAUAGUAGAUGCUUGAUAAACAUCAUGAGUAUCUCUAAUCCUGGCCAACUUGGCAAACCCAUAGGACGAAGCUCUGUAAACUUCUGACUCCCAACCAGGGCUGUGUUCAUUUGAGUUCCCAGGAAAUAAGGAAAAUAUCAGCAUCUGAUAAAUGAGCAAGAGUUGCUCCUUCCUUGUUCCAAUUUCUUUCCUCAUUUUUUCAGUUUAGGAGGCUAAAGGGAACAGCUUAAUGACAGCAACAUCUGAAAAGGAGGACCAAAAAAGAGCAUUGUGUUUUGCUUCUAGCAAAUCAGGAGCCACUGAAAGAUGGCCCACCUCUAAGACACCCAACUUUCAAAGCUGCCCCAAAUUUCCCUUGGCUCUAACAAUUUCUGCUCAAUGACAAAUAGGAAUUCAAAUCCUUCAUGGCCUCCAUCAAAGGGUGGGGUGUGUGUGUGUGUGUGUGUGUGUGUUCAUUAAAAAAAAUAUGGACAGUUGAGCAGAGAAAAAGAAGAACACACAGUGCAAUAGUCUGUGUAGGAGGCCCAGGAACUGCUUGCCACCAUCAUAAUUCUUUGCUGUGACACUAAGCAAAAGCUUGCAGAGCCAUUUUACUCUUGGGGGAAGCAGGCUGCCCCUGCCAUGACUUUCCAGUGUUAGCUUGAUCGCCUUACACAGAGUCUCGCCCUAAUCUCUUUUCCCUUCUUCCCUCCGCCUUCUGCCCUAGUUCUACUGAAAUAAAGCAAAAUUUUUAGACUUCUCACUCUAAUGUGUGUGGCUCACACAGACAUUAUUCAAGGGUACACAUAUUCAUGCAUUCAUUCCUUAAGGAAUUAUUGACACUUAGUGUGUGUAAAACUCUGAUGGGGCAGAGAAUGAUUCAUUCAUUUAUGCAUGGAAGGAACGAUUACUGAGUACCUACUGUGUGCUGGGCACUGGGGACACAGAGAUGAGAAAGGAAACAGCCUUGCUUUUAAGAAGCAUAUAGUCUCCUAGGGAGACAGAUGAGAAAAUACACCAUUUUGGUAUGAAAUGAUGAAUGUAUAACCUUCUUGCUCAAAGUGUGAUCCUUGGACUAACAGCACUGGAAUCACCUGGCAUGAUGAAAAAUCCAGGGCUCCCCCCAUAAUAAAUCAGAAUCUGUGUUUUAACAAGGUCUCCAGGAGACUUGCAUGCUUAUUUAAAGUUUGAGAAGCACUGGUCUAAGACAUGGUCCCUGCUAUUCAUAGGCUUGCAAACUGGUAAAUCAUUCAAACAUACUAAUGCCAGAGAAAUGCAUAGUUCUCUGUAUUCACGUGUCCAGGCUCCACUGGGUUCUCCCCUAGUCAGUUAAGCCAAGGGGAGCAAGUCAGGAGGGGCCUGGGGUUAUAGCCACGUACUGGGGUAAGAUGGGUAGUAGGAGAGAUAUUGUCCUGUCAAGCCAAACAGCCCACAAGGAUUGGACAAGAGCAGGGGCAGGGAGCACCCCAGGAAGAGUCACAGCCUAGCCCAUCCAUGAGGACUAUGGGGUGGCUGCACGCAGGCAGGCAGGCAGGUAGGUGGCAAGGACCAGGGGGGCUGAGAGUAGAAAGGAGACCCAAGUGUGGCUGCAAGUCCAGAGCCUGGCUCUGAAGAAGGCAAGCAGGAAAGAUGGUCAGGUGGCACAUUGCUGUAGACUCAUCAGAUCUGAGUGUGAUUUCUGUCUCUGUGACCUCAGCUAGUGUUUUAACCUUGCAGACAUUCAUUUUCCUCACCUGUAGAAUCUGGCUAAAAAAAGGCACCCCAUGAGUGGCUAAGAGAUUCAAUAAUGUGUGUAAAGCUCUUGGCUUCUGGUGCUGCUUAAUGGUAUUAUUACUAUUCCCACUUUAUAGUUGAGGAAAUGGAGUCCCAUGGACAAUAAGUAAAUUUCCCAAGGUCAUUCAGCUCGCAAAGAGCAGAGCCCUUCCUCUAGACUGACUCUCCUAAAAAUCUCACAGCUCAAUGCAUGGAUGGUUAUUAUUUCACCAACAUCACUGUGUGUCCUGCUAAGGGGCUGCUGUCCUAAGCAGGUUGCUACAUCUAAGACCACAUCUUCCAACCUCCCAGCCUCAAGUUGGAAUCUCUUCUGAGAACUGGGCCUGGGCCAGCAGACAGAGCCCAGCACUUCCCACUGCAGGAUGGAGGUGAGGCUUCCCCCAGUAAACUUCCAAGUGUGUUCCAGCCCUACUGUCCUCAUUUUACCCCUAUGAGUGCCGCUUCACCUCACCUGCAUUCUCCGCCCUGAGUAGGUGUGACUGUCACCCAUCCAGGAGCAGGUCACAGCUCUGCUUUUAGUGGCUUCCUUAAAAUCACUGCACUUACUUACUUUUGUAGGCUGAUUGUACAAAAUGUGCACUAGCUGACAUAAUUCCAGUUAUUUAUUUGUAGAUUCAGGAAAUGAGUGAGAAAGCAAGAUUAUUUCAGGUUCAAAGUAAUUUGCUGAAAGCAUAGGUUCUCCUGGUUCUCCCACUUAGCAGCAUCUUACCUAGGUAAAUUACUUAAGCUCUGAGUCCUAAUGCUUACAUCUGUAAAAAGGAGAAACAACAGUAAUGCAAACUUUGUAAACUUUUAUGAGAUAGUAGCUGUGAAAUACUUUACACCAUUCGAGUAAAUGUUAGUAGCCACCAUUUCUAUUGUAUUUAUUUUUAUUCUCCAGGCAGCCUCUUUCAUGCUAGGGGAGCACCAAAAAGAAGGGACUCCAGGUCUUCUUUGCCAAACGUUUGCCAUUAUAUUUCACCAAGAGGCUGCUUUAUAGGAAAAAACAUGUGUGUGUGUGUGUGUGUGUGUGUUUGUGUGUGUGUCGUAGUUAAUGGUAAUUUUGACUUUUAAGUAUUGAAUGAAUGGCUCCCUGAAUGACCAUUACCCACAUCUCGUGUCCUGAGCACAUUGUGUUUACAACAUGGGCGAAAAUCCUGAUCUUGAAAGAAAAUAAUAAAAAUAAAGAUCUUGCCAUAAAUCCUACAAAAUAGGACAAAUAUUUUUAAAGUAGGUUUUUGAAGGAGCUUUAGAGCUGGUGGUCAUCACUAAACCUUCCCACUAUGCUGGAUUUCUUUAGGUUACUUAGUAGGUAUGUACUUAGAAAAAAUGUUAAAGUAUUAGAAAAUGAACCUAAGUAGGGCUGCUAAAAUCAUCCUGUUGCUCUCUUAGCGAGUGAAUAACCUGAAAGUCAAGGUCGGUGGCUCUUAGCCUUUCGGGGUUCCUUGGAAAAGGGCCUCAUGAAAGCCACAGUACAUACUUAUGAGGUCCCAGAAAGAAAUUCUAAUUACACCAGGGGCUUAUCCCAUAUGCCAAAAAUAUUUGUUGAGUUAAAAAGAACUAAUUAAUUAAUAGAGCAAGGAUUCUUAACCUGGGUCCAAGUAUCUCAUGAACAUCCUGGAUGGUCAGCAAAAAUUGGGUAUAUAUUUACAUUUCUGGGGAAUCUACGUAGAAUUCUCAAAAGUUCUAUGGUCCAAAAUGAUUAAGAACCAUUUUGCCUUUUGGGAUCCCUGGCCAUCUUGGUGGCUGCUUUUGGUUAGAGGCCAUCCCACAUCCAAGGCCAGAAUAUGGUGGCCGCAAAGAAGACGAAAAGUCACUGGAGUCCAUCCACUCUAGGCUCCAACCCAUUAAGGGUCAAAAAUACAAGCUGGGGCAAUCCGGCUCUGAAGAUGAUAGACAAGGCAAAGUGAAACCGGUCAUCCCCACCAACUGCCUGGCCUCGAGGAAAUCUGAAAUACAGAACUAAGGUGCAUACUCUCAAAACUGCCAUCUACCACUCCAGCAGUAAUAACAUUAAAUUGGGCACAGCAUGUGGAAAAUACCAUAGCAAGUGCACCCUGGUGUCACUGAUCCAGGGAAUGCUGAGAUUUUUUUUUUUUUUUUUUUUUUUUGAGACAGGGUCUCACUGUGUUGCCUAGGCUGGAGUGCAGUGGCACCAUCUCGGCUCACUGCAAGCUCCACCUCCAAGAUUCAAGCCAUCCACCUCCCACCUCGGCCUCCUGAGCAGCUGGGACCACAGGUGCAUGUCACUAUGCCCAGCUAAUUUUUGUAGACAGGAGGUCUCACUAUGUUGCCCAAGCUGGCCUCGAAGUCCUGGACUCAAGCAAUCCGCCCACCUCAGCCUCCCAAAGUGCUGGGAUUACAGGCAUGAGGCACUGCACCCAGCCCUGAGAUCUUUGGAAGCAUGCCAGAACAGACUGGUGAAAAUAAAUCAUGCAAAUCUUUAAUAAAACUGGCCAGAGCUUAUUUUUCAAAAAGAAGGAAGGAAGGAAGGGAGGGAGGGAGGGAGAGAGGGAAGGAAGUGGGGAGGGAGGGAGGGGAGGGAGGGAGGUUUUAUGCUAUCUCUAAAGCCAAAAACAACUGGCAAAUUUGGCAGCUCAGAGGAACGAAGCUUUAGAUAUCUGAGUUCUGGCUUCGGCAUACCUCCCACCUCCUGAUUCCCGAGGGCAGAACCUCUCACUGCUGCCCACAGUCCAGUCCUCCCCCUCUGCCUGGAAGGCUGUCUCCAUUUAGACCACAUUCCCUCCUGGCCAUCCUUCAGGACUGCACACUCAGUUAUAAAAGCCUCCUUCCCUGCCUGAGGACAAUAGAUAGCUCCUUCCAUCACCCAAAUUAUUUUCAGAGGCUCCUUGCUAUUUCCCAGGUACAAAAGAAGCCCUCACAGUAUUGCUUAUACAAUGAUAGCCUAUUAUUUGUUGUUUUGUAUUUGCACCCUGGUCUGUGUUACCUGGUCACUGUGGCCCAGUUGUUUAUUCUAGAUUCAAAGCUGUCAGGGGAAUCACUGUUGUUUAAUUUUCUUUUGUGUAGGAGGUGUUCAAAGCAAAAGUUAGAUGACAGACUUCAAAAUCAUUUCAGAUUCUGCAGCACUGUUUGCUACAAUUAGGAGAACUGGUUCUGUCAAAACCCUAACUUACGGCUUCGUUCAUUCUGGACAUUUUUAUUUUUCAUACCCUGCUCUCAAAUACAAUGGGUAUCUUCUUUUUAAAUCUGCACACAUCUGACUCAGUUCCUCCCACAGUCCUCCGCUUAUGGUUUGGAAUUGGAAUUUUCAUUUCACUAAGAAAGGGAGAAAUUCUUGCUGGGGAAUGGUUCUUCAGGCAUUCAGAGCCCUCACUAUCUUUGGAAAAGCAAGGUUUUUUCUCCAAGAGUUUUGAAGACUGCACGUUCAAUAUCUCAUUUUGUUUGCUUCCCUCUCUUGGCUCCCUCCUACCCACAGGGUGCCACAGCACGCUGUCUUUCCCAGUAGCAAAGGCGCUGUGUCUCAAAAGCUGGCUAUCUUAUUCAUUUCUGAGUCAAACUCUAGACCAUGCUUGCCUCUUCAGGCACUUGGCUCUCUCAGCACAAAUAUAACAGGUCUUUGCACUCCAGGCCCUUGCCAAGAGUGAACUCUGGAGGCCUGAGGCCAUGUGGAAUCAGGCCUGAAGUGCCCUCCUUUACCCUGUGGCACCAAAGCCUGCUUCAGAUGGCUGGGCCACAUCCUGCCGGUCUGCCAAGAAGAGCUUGGGGGCACUCUGGCCACAACAGUCAAGCAUCCUGGGGGCCUCCUUCCCAUUAAGGCCCUCAGGUUUCGCACUUAUUUCCCCAGAACUUAUCUGUGCCUUCCACAGCCCACAUGGCCCCGGGCUGGACUUCCAGGGGCUUUGUUCCCUUCUCAGCUGCGGUUUAUUUGUUUACUUUUGAAACACGAAGUGAGGCCAGAGAUGGGAAACUUUGAGCUUUUGCAUGCUUCUCCACUCGGUCUCCUCACUGGAGAGGGCUGGCAGUGCUCAGAAUGGUGCAUGCCCCCUGCUCCUCACCGCCACCCAUGCUCCAAAGCCAGGAUGUGAGUCUUGCAGAGCUGCAGACAGCCCCUAAAGGGUGUGCUCCCAAUUUGAGCUCAUCUGACCCAGUUAAGGAGCCAGAAUGGGAGAAGCAUCUGCCACUCAUGAGCUCUGGCUGGGGGGCCCCUGCCCUCCCCCUCGCCCCCAGUCCUGAUGCCCUUCUGGGCGGCUUCAAGCAGCAGCUGCAAAAUGUCAGUGCAAGAGGCAGAAGAACCAGGGCGAGCGUGCAGGCUCCGGGUGAUAGAAGCAGAAGGAAAGUCUAGAAGCGCACGGAGCAAGGGGCCACGCGGUGUCGCAGGCAGCGAGGACAGCCCAGGCUCCCAGAGACCGCAGCCGGGUGGAGGCGUCUGCGGGUACCAGGCGACGGGCCAGGGCGCACGGCGAGGCCACCCACCUCUUGAUGUAGCUGCUGAGGCGGUAGAGCUGCCCGUCGAGGCGCACGAGGCCGUCACCGAAGACGUUGAAGCCCCCCCGC
RNAcentral lists this long non-coding RNA (14369 nucleotides) under Homo sapiens (human). Its description in RNAcentral is "non-protein coding TEX26-AS1:33". The stretch from base 7703 to 7850 matches the Rfam family "Metazoan signal recognition particle RNA". Lineage: Eukaryota; Metazoa; Chordata; Mammalia; Primates; Hominidae. The record is from RNAcentral.